AGGGAAUCCUCCGCAAUGGGCGAAAGCCUGACGGAGCAACGCCGCGUGAGUGAAGAAGGUCUUCGGAUCGUAAAACUCUGUUAUUAGGGAAGAACAAAUGUGUAAGUAACUAUGCACGUCUUGACGGUACCUAAUCAGAAAGCCACGGCUAACUACGUGCCAGCAGCCGCGGUAAUACGUAGGUGGCAAGCGUUAUCCGGAAUUAUUGGGCGUAAAGCGCGCGUAGGCGGUUUUUUAAGUCUGAUGUGAAAGCCCACGGCUCAACCGUGGAGGGUCAUUGGAAACUGGAAAACUUGAGUGCAGAAGAGGGAAGUGGAAUUCCAUGUGUAGCGGUGAAAUGCGCAGAGAUAUGGAGGAACACCAGUGGCGAAGGCGACUUUCUGGUCUGUAACUGACGCUGAUGUGCGAAAGCGUGGGGAUCAAACAGGAUUAGAUACCCUGGUAGUCCACGCCGUAAACGAUGAGUGCUAAGUGUUAGGGGGUUUCCGCCCCUUAGUGCUGCAGCUAACGCAUUAAGCACUCCGCCUGGGGAGUACGACCGCAAGGUUG
This 549-nucleotide ribosomal RNA is filed under the name uncultured bacterium. RNAcentral's name for it is "bacterial SSU rRNA". It matches the Rfam family "Bacterial small subunit ribosomal RNA", at positions 356 to 896 of the family's 1533-position model. The record is from RNAcentral.